This is a long non-coding RNA of Esox lucius (northern pike), 1025 nucleotides long. The record is from Ensembl. NCBI's taxonomy places the organism in Eukaryota, Metazoa, Chordata, Actinopteri, Esociformes, Esocidae.
UAACAUGAUUAUCGUCAAUAUCUGUAUAUCACAUCACAUCUGACUUGCAUGGUGUUAUUCAUUGAUAUCUUGCACUGUACAUAGGGCUUUUGAAUGUGUCUCAAUCUUGAUUCUCAAUCUUGAUUCUCAAUCUUGCAAUCGCUGUAAUUCUUUUUGUUUAAAGAACCAACGUGACAUCCUCUUCCAACUGAACUACACAGUCAAUAUUGUAUUCUGCAUGUUAUUAUAUUUGGGCCAAAAUCCUGUUAGAGCCGGAAUUCUUACUGGUUGGUAGGUGAUCAAAUACUUAUGUCAUGCAAUAAAAUGAAUUACUUAAAAUGUGAUUUUCUGGAUUUUUGUUUUAGAUUCCAUCACUCACAGUUGAAGAGUACCUAUGAUAAAAAUUUGCAGACUUCUACAUGCUUUGGGUUCCUGUAGUCUGGACCUCCAUGGUCUAAGAGUCACAUGUCAAUUCUCUGGUGAGAUGGACAGAGAGAAAAACAUUAUGAACCUGAAGCUGAACAAGACGCUGAAGGAUUUGAAGAAAUGGGGGGUGUUGAGGCAGUGUUGCGUUGGCCAUUUUACAUGGCAACCAAGCACCAAUCAUCUCCUUAUAAUUCACACCUUUUGUUGCGGCUCAAUCCACACAGGGGCUUUUACAACACAUUUCUGGAACUCACACACAAAGACACAAAAAAAAGAACCAAAAAAAAAAACACACUAACUCCCGAAACACAUUCUAACACCUUUCUAGGUCAUCAUGUUUACAUAAUCUCUCGCAAUAAAUUAGAUGACAGAAGGGAGGCCUGCUAUCUGAUGGUCUGUAUCAUUGUAGGCCUCAAACAGUUCUGAGGGAAUGUUGUCAUAUCGUUAAUAGAAUAGUCACUCAUAGUCAAACCCACAUAUACUGUAGUUGGUAAAACCAGCCACCUAAUCUAGCAUUUAUCUAUAGUAUAUUCAUAUAAGAUGGCGUAAUACAUAUUAAAUAAUGCCAAAAGAGAAUUACAUUGACCGCAAAUGUAUGGUUACCACAUGAACCAAAGGCG